This 172-nucleotide unclassified non-coding RNA is filed under the name uncultured Hydnaceae. RNAcentral's name for it is "sequence contains ITS1". The record is from RNAcentral. Lineage: Eukaryota; Fungi; Basidiomycota; Agaricomycetes; Cantharellales; Hydnaceae.
UCGAAUUACCGAGGGUUGAUGCUGGUAGUCUUUGAUUACAUGUGCUCGCUCUCUUUAAUCAACUUACACAUGUGCACUAUUUUUGAAGGCAGAGGUAAAAGCCUGCCUUUAGAACUCUUAAACUCUUAUUCUAUGUAAUGGAUGCGAUUCUGCCACAAGGCGAAAUUUAAUA